GACGAACGCUGGCGGCGUGCUUAACACAUGCAAGUCGAACGGUGAAGGGACCAGCUUGCUGGUUCUGGAUGAGUGGCGAACGGGUGAGUAACACGUGAGUAACCUGCCCCCUUCUUCUGGAUAACCGCAUGAAAGUGUGGCUAAUACGGGAUAUUCUGGGUCUGUCGCAUGGCGGGCCCGGGAAAGAUAUUGCUUCGGUGGGGGAUGGGCUCGCGGCCUAUCAGCUUGUUGGUGGGGUGAUGGCCUACCAAGGCGGUGACGGGUAGCCGGCCUGAGAGGGUGGACGGUCACACCGGGACUGAGACACGGCCCAGACUCCUACGGGAGGCAGCAGUGGGGAAUAUUGCACAAUGGGCGCAAGCCUGAUGCAGCGACGCCGCGUGAGGGAUGGAGGCCUUCGGGUUGUAAACCUCUUUCGCCAGUGAAGCAGGCCUGCUCCUUGUGGGUGGGUUGACGGUAGCUGGAUAAGAAGCGCCGGCUAACUACGUG
RNAcentral lists this ribosomal RNA (489 nucleotides) under uncultured bacterium. RNAcentral's name for it is "partial 16S ribosomal RNA". It matches the Rfam family "Bacterial small subunit ribosomal RNA", at positions 28 to 507 of the family's 1533-position model. The record is from RNAcentral.